This 73-nucleotide transfer RNA is filed under the name bacterium. Its description in RNAcentral is "tRNA-Gly". It matches the Rfam family "tRNA". From Rfam's summary of the family: Transfer RNA (tRNA) molecules are approximately 80 nucleotides in length. The record is from RNAcentral.
GCGAAAGUAGUUCAAUUGGUAGAGCGCUUCCUUGCCAAGGAAGAGGUUGCGGGUUCGAGCCCCGUCUUUCGCU